AUCAAAUAAAAGACUCUUAUCAUUUAAUAAAGUAUCAACUAAAGCAAGGGUGGCAAAGCAUCUAUUCCUCCAAAUAAGAAACUUUGUAAAUAACUCAUCUCAUGUACAAACUCAAAUAUAAAAUUUAAAUCAAUCACAAUAGAUUUUUAAUCAAUUGCUUGCAACCAUUUUCUAUUUAUUCUUCUCUAUGUGCUUUGUC
This 199-nucleotide long non-coding RNA is filed under the name Physcomitrium patens. RNAcentral describes it as "long non-coding RNA (PPAT_LNC002044)". The record is from RNAcentral. Lineage: Eukaryota; Viridiplantae; Streptophyta; Bryopsida; Funariales; Funariaceae.